Molecule: ribosomal RNA, 460 nt
Filed under: Brachidontes mutabilis
Lineage: Eukaryota; Metazoa; Mollusca; Bivalvia; Mytilida; Mytilidae
Description: partial large subunit ribosomal RNA
Rfam family: Bacterial large subunit ribosomal RNA
Source: RNAcentral
GGGGCCGGCGGUUUUAACGGGGGGCCCGUUUAGGUAACAUGAUAAGUCGGCCUUUAAUUGAGGUCUGGAAUGAAUAGGUUGACGUCGGAUAAACUGUCUCACAAAGUUAAAUCUAAAUUAAUUUUAAAGUGAAGAAGCUUUAAUAGUAAAAAAAGACGACAAGACCCUAUGAAGCUUUAUCGUAGAAAAAUAGUAUCUAUUAGGACUAUUUUUGAUGAUUUUGUUGGGAUAACAAAGCGGAAAUGUGCUGCUUAACUUAUUUAAACUAACUAGUUGUAUGUAAAUUUUUAGAGUAUGGUAAGCUACUCUAGGGAUAACAGCGCAAUUUUUUUAAAGAGCUCAAAUCAAUAAAAAAGUUUGCGACCUCGAUGUUGGCUUUAGGUCACUUAAAGGUGUAGAUGCUUUUAAGAGUGGGUCUGUUCGACCUUUAAUUCCUAACGUGAUCUGAGUUUCAGACCGG